Molecule: ribosomal RNA, 492 nt
Filed under: uncultured bacterium
Lineage: Bacteria
Description: partial 16S ribosomal RNA
Rfam family: Bacterial small subunit ribosomal RNA
Source: RNAcentral
AGUGAACGCUGGCGGCAGGCCUAACACAUGCAAGUCGAACGGCAGCACAGUAAGAGCUUGCUCUUACGGGUGGCGAGUGGCGGACGGGUGAGGAAUACAUCGGAAUCUACUUUUUCGUGGGGGAUAACGUAGGGACACUUACGCUAAUACCGCAUACGACCUACGGGUGAAAGCAGGGGAUCUUCGGACCUUGCGCGAUUGAAUGAGCCGAUGUCGGAUUAGCUAGUUGGCGGGGUAAAGGCCCACCAAGGCGACGAUCCGUAGCUGGUCUGAGAGGAUGAUCAGCCACACUGGAACUGAGACACGGUCCAGACUCCUACGGGAGGCAGCAGUGGGGAAUAUUGGACAAUGGGCGCAAGCCUGAUCCAGCCAUACCGCGUGGGUGAAGAAGGCCUUCGGGUUGUAAAGCCCUUUUGUUGGGAAAGAAAAGCAGCAGGUUAAUACCCCGCUGUUCUGACGGUACCCAAAGAAUAAGCACCGGCUAACUUCGUG